RNAcentral lists this ribosomal RNA (340 nucleotides) under uncultured Uronema sp. RNAcentral describes it as "partial Bacterial large subunit ribosomal RNA". It matches the Rfam family "Bacterial large subunit ribosomal RNA", at positions 536 to 879 of the family's 2925-position model. Lineage: Eukaryota; Ciliophora; Oligohymenophorea; Philasterida; Uronematidae. The record is from RNAcentral.
GAGUGAAAUAGAUCCUGAAACCGUGUACGUACAAGCAGUGGGAGCGGACUUGUUCCGUGACUGCGUACCUUUUGUAUAAUGGGUCAACGACUUAUUUUCAGUAGCAAGGUUAAGCACAUAGUGGAGCCGUAGGGAAACCGAGUCUUAAUAGGGCGUUUAGUUGCUGGGUAUAGACCCGAAACCAGGUGAUCUAUCCAUGAGCAGGUUGAAGGUUGGGUAACACUAACUGGAGGACCGAACCCACUGUCUUUGAAAAGCCAGGGGAUGACUUGUGGAUAGGGGUGAAAGGCUAAUCAAACUUAGUUAUAGCUGGUUUUCUAUGAAAUCUAUUUUAGUAGAG